CACAGCUGCGCCUCGUCGGGAGCCCCGGGCGGGGCCCGCCCCAAAGCCUCUUAAGCUCCUCCGGAGGCUGCCGGGAGCCACGGGGGAGUUCUUGCGGUUCUCCCCGAGAGACGGAGGGGGCUCCGGUUCCUUUGACCGCUCUUAGCGCUGCUGGAGCUGGGAAGCGGCUGCUGUGAGACCUCUCGCGGUAAGGAUCCGCCCAAACCGGUGUGAGCCGUUUUGGUAGUAACGGGACCGUGCAGGCGGCGAGGGCUCGGGAGCCGCGAGGAUCUCUUCGGCUGGAGCGGGAGGCUGCCGGGCUCCCGGACCCCGCUCUUCCCGGGGCCGGCGUAGGGCUGCCGCCGGGCUUCCCCGGCUGUUUGCUGUCGAUACAGCGUCGCCGCCCGGCUCCCAUCGCGUUUUCGGAGGGAGCUGCCGCUCAGGUCCUUAAGUCCUACCGCAGCCCCGGGGUGCUCUGAGCCUCCCUCUUCCUAGGGUUGUUUGUAGCGGGUGCUUCGGUUCUUCAGGCUCUCAUCGGCUGAGCGAGUGUUCCGGCAGAGCCUCUCCUCGCUCCAAAGCGGUGAGCUCGUGGAAGCGGUGAGCGUUGGGGAGUCAGCUGGUAAGAUCUCUCUUCUCGGGGUUUAUGUAGGGCUGUUGCUCGGCUACCUCUGCACCUUCGGGAUCGGCACGGCGCCGCUUCUGGGCUCCCGCGUGGCCUUUUAGAGAAGAGCCGGCACGAGGCCGCUGCCCGACGGCUCGAGACCGAGCGCGGCCCCGGGGCGGCCUCAGCCCCCGAGGAGGGUUCUACUGGUGCUCCAGCCCCCCCGUUUCCAGCGGUGGGAGCGAGCAGGAUGGGAACACUUGUUUUCUUUUUUUCUCCCCCUUCCUUCACGUGGGACUUCAGGAGCACGGUUUUGUGCCUACCGUGGAGACCUGGUGGGGCAGCUUGCAUGACCGGAAUGCUGUUGUGGAUGGCUUUGUUCCUUUUAGGAAAGACAGACCGGCCAGGUGGUGGAGUCUCUCUUCCAGUGAGAGAAUGGAAAUGUAUCGAGCUCUGCCUCGGGGUGAAUGAAGAACUAGCGGAGCGCUUGCAUGUGAGGCUCAAGAGGCAGGUAAAUGUGGGUGACAUCACUGUGGGUGGUAUCUCUACUGGCAGGAGACCUGCAGGGUUGAAUGAGGAACUCAAGAUGAACUUGAAGGGGAAAAGGAAGACUUGGGCUAAGGAAGACGAUGACCCUCUCAGUAUCACCUUUGGGAAGGGAGGUCAAGGCUAAUAGAAGUUGUGGUCGCUGCUGAGUCUGCUCCUUGGGAUCCCUGGAUUCUGGAGGAAAUAGUUUUAGAGGAAGGAUGACUUCCUCUUGAUUGUGGAGGAGCUGGUCAAAGGUCAUUUAGGCAAAGUGGGUGCCAGCACAAAUGCCUGAGCUGGAAAGGGAUAUGCCUGUGUGUGCUGAGAGAGCUGGCAGAAGUGACUGCCACAUAGCUCUCUGUCACGUUUCCUCUGUUCUUUCCUAUAGGAAAGGUGCCCAAAGACUGGAGGAUAGCUGAUGUCACCUCAGCCUUCGGAAAGGGUGAGGAGGAUGGCCUGUGUGUAUGGGAACUGUUGAAUCACAGCCUGAACCUUUGAUUCCUCCACCUGAGGAGAGUGCCGAGUCAGCUGCAGGGGCACAGGUGAAUGCAAUUUCACCUGAGUGAGGGGAAGAGGUGGAGCCUGGCUCCAUCCCUCCUAGAUGCCAUUUAAGGGCUGACUCCCAAGGAGGAAGGAUCUCUGGCUGGAGAUCCUCUUGGAGCCCUUCUGUAAGCCCAGGACAUGGGUAAGAUCUUUAUUUCAUUUCUCCUUUGUAAUGUGUUAUUCUCUGUGGUCCAAUACCUGUAUACCUGUUUGUCAUACAGCUGUGCAACUGUAGGUUGGUUAGCCUCACCUCCCUUCCUGGAAUGGCAAUGUAACAACUGCUUCUGGAUGUCAUCUCCAAGCAACUGGAAGAGAAGAAAUGUCUAAGGAGCGGUCAAGGGUGAAGGCUGCAGGGAGGAUUGGCUGGAAUACGUGAGCUGCUUUUUUCCAGUGCUGGGAUGAAGGAGGUGAGAGAUGGGGACCCACCAGUGGGUCCCCUGCUAGCAGAGGGCUGCCUUCUGUGUGGUUCACAGGUCUUCCUGCAGGUUCAGGGCUGGAGUGAGGUCUGAAGGUGUGUGGCAGGUUCUCUCUUGGAGGAAUGGAACUGAUGAAGUGCUGGAGUUUGGGGUCCUGGUGCAGCUGUUGUCUGAAGGUGCAGCGCUGGAUCUGCUGAAGGAGCAGAGGCAAGAGCUGAAUUUCUGCAUGGCAGCAUCUCUUGAAUGCAGUAGAGCUUCCCCAGCUUGAAGAUGGGUGUGCUAUCCAUAUGCCAGAGGAGUGGCAUCAACUGUCUUGUAAUAAACUUCUCAUUUCCUUUUUUAAGAUGAGCCCACUGCGACCUCUCUGGUUUCUUACUAGUUAACUCAGGAGCGUGCUUCUCAGAGAAACUCUUUGUGUUGAAUCUCAGUGAGUGAGUUACUGUGAACCUUCCUCCCAAACUGAGACUGAACUCGAGCAGAAGUGACAAUAUGUUGUACUCUGCAUGUAGCUCUUUAACAGAAGACAUGGAACUCUGGGGUUGUGCCUUUGUGUUAAAUGUUUGCAUGCAGUGUAUUGCAUCUUCAUGUGAGAGUCUGCAGUUAAUAAACUUUGCUUUUAAUUAGUUAAUGAUCCAGUUCUCCUGUGAUUGUAGCACAACAGCCAGAUAAUGCAGGAUAGAAAAUGGAGCUAGUUAACUUAAAUAUGAUACUAUUCUACUCACUUGACUUAUCUGUGUGUUAGUAGGUUUACUCAGUGCAACCAAGCGUCUGCAGGCCAUUAACCUGUUGCUCCUGGUGAUAACAGGACAUAGACAUUCCUCUGGAAAAAAUAACAAAAAUGUAUAUUAGUGACAUGACAUGAGAGGAUAUACAAACUCAG
RNAcentral lists this long non-coding RNA (2944 nucleotides) under Gallus gallus (chicken). Its description in RNAcentral is "lncRNA (ENSGALG00010023776.1)". The record is from RNAcentral. Lineage: Eukaryota; Metazoa; Chordata; Aves; Galliformes; Phasianidae.